RNAcentral lists this ribosomal RNA (239 nucleotides) under uncultured bacterium. RNAcentral's name for it is "partial 16S ribosomal RNA". It matches the Rfam family "Bacterial small subunit ribosomal RNA", at positions 333 to 564 of the family's 1533-position model. The record is from RNAcentral.
UUUAUCCUACGGGAGGCAGCAGUAGGGAAUCUUCCACAAUGGACGAAAGUCUGAUGGAGCAACACCGCGUGAGUGAAGAAGGGUUUCGGCUCGUAAAACUCUGUUGGUAGUGAAGAAAGAUAGAGGGAGUAACUGGCCUUUAUUUGACGGUAAUUAUUUAGAAAGUCACGGCUAACUACGUGCCAGCAGCCGCGGGAAUACGUAGGUGGCAAGCGCUGUCCGGAUUUAUUGGGCGUAAA